RNAcentral lists this ribosomal RNA (497 nucleotides) under uncultured bacterium. Its description in RNAcentral is "partial 16S ribosomal RNA". It matches the Rfam family "Bacterial small subunit ribosomal RNA", at positions 28 to 507 of the family's 1533-position model. The record is from RNAcentral.
GAUGAACGCUGGCGGCGUGCCUAAUACAUGCAAGUCGAGCGAACAGACGAGGAGCUUGCUCCUCUGACGUUAGCGGCGGACGGGUGAGUAACACGUGGAUAACCUACCUAUAAGACUGGGAUAACUUCGGGAAGCCGGAGCUAAUCCCGGAUAAUCUAUUGAACCGCAUGGUUCAAUAGUGAAAGACGGUUUUGCUGUCACUUAUAGAUGGAUCCGCGCCGCAUUAGCUAGUUGGUAAGGUAACGGCUUACCAAGGCGACGAUGCGUAGCCGACCUGAGAGGGUGAUCGGCCACACUGGAACUGAGACACGGUCCAGACUCCUACGGGAGGCAGCAGUAGGGAAUCUUCCGCAAUGGGCGAAAGCCUGACGGAGCAACGCCGCGUGAGUGAUGAAGGUCUUCGGAUCGUAAAACUCUGUUAUUAGGGAAGAACAAAUGUGUAAGUAACUAUGCACGUCUUGACGGUACCUAAUCAGAAAGCCACGGCUAACUACGUG